This 420-nucleotide long non-coding RNA is filed under the name Mytilus galloprovincialis (Mediterranean mussel). Lineage: Eukaryota; Metazoa; Mollusca; Bivalvia; Mytilida; Mytilidae. The record is from RNAcentral.
GUGACUGGGGUAUAGAAAUAUGGUCGCUUGGUCUUCUCCCGACCGGCAGUAAAACGCUUGCUGAAGUGGGGCGUCCGUUUGGCUGUGCGGGAUGUAUCAAGUUCGCAGUCACGUCCGUCAGAAGGGGACGUUAAAUCCGAUGCCUCGUGUAAAGAGAGUGCCACGCUCUUUGCACGUUAAGAACCCUUGCAACAACUCUUUGAGGGGUCCGUAGGUGGCCUGUUGCAAGGCAAAAUUUCUGUCCCUAUCCAAUAUACCCUCAUUUCCAGUGGCAGUCCAAAUUUCCCCGACCAUCAUCCUAGAUGGCCUCUAUUACAACAACCUACCUAUUGUAUUUAUUGUGAACUUGUUCUCGUCCUGAAUAUGCAUGAAAUAUUUGCCACUGGACGUUAAGCAACCAACAAUCAAUCAAUCAAUCGU